RNAcentral lists this ribosomal RNA (253 nucleotides) under uncultured bacterium. Its description in RNAcentral is "partial 16S ribosomal RNA". It matches the Rfam family "Bacterial small subunit ribosomal RNA", at positions 524 to 776 of the family's 1533-position model. The record is from RNAcentral.
UACGGAGGGUGCAAGCGUUAUCCGGAUUCACUGGGUUUAAAGGGUGCGUAGGUGGGCAAGUAAGUCAGUGGUGAAAUCUCCGGGCUUAACCCGGAAACUGCCAUUGAUACUAUUUGUCUUGAAUACUGUGGAGGUCAGCGGAAUAUGUCAUGUAGCGGUGAAAUGCUUAGAUAUGACAUAGAACACCAAUUGCGAAGGCAGCUGGCUACACAAAUAUUGACGCUGAUGGACGAAAGCGUGGGGAGCGAACAGG